RNAcentral lists this ribosomal RNA (253 nucleotides) under uncultured bacterium. RNAcentral describes it as "partial 16S ribosomal RNA". It matches the Rfam family "Bacterial small subunit ribosomal RNA", at positions 524 to 776 of the family's 1533-position model. The record is from RNAcentral.
UACGGAGAGGGCUAGCGUUGUUCGGAAUUACUGGGCGUAAAGGGUACGUAGGCGGUUUAGUAAGUUAGGAGUGAAAUCCUGGAGCUCAACUCCAGAACUGCCUUUGAUACUGGGAGUCUUGAGUUCGGGAGAGGUGAGUGGAACUGCGAGUGUAGAGGUGAAAUUCGUAGAUAUUCGCAAGAACACCAGUGGCGAAGGCGGCUCACUGGCCCGAUACUGACGCUGAGGUGCGAAAGCGUGGGGAGCAAACAGG